This 253-nucleotide ribosomal RNA is filed under the name uncultured bacterium. RNAcentral's name for it is "partial 16S ribosomal RNA". It matches the Rfam family "Bacterial small subunit ribosomal RNA", at positions 524 to 776 of the family's 1533-position model. The record is from RNAcentral.
GACGAAGGGGGCUAGCGUUGUUCGGAAUUACUGGGCGUAAAGCGCGUGUAGGCGGUUUGCCAAGUCGGGUGUGAAAGCCUUGAGCUCAACUCAAGAAAUGCACUCGGUACUGGCAGACUAGAGGACCGGAGAGGAUAGUGGAAUUCCCAGUGUAGUGGUGAAAUACGUAGAGAUUGGGAAGAACACCAGUGGCGAAGGCGGCUAUCUGGACGGUUUCUGACGCUAAGACGCGAAAGCGUGGGGAGCAAACAGG